This 433-nucleotide ribosomal RNA is filed under the name uncultured bacterium. RNAcentral describes it as "partial 16S ribosomal RNA". It matches the Rfam family "Bacterial small subunit ribosomal RNA", at positions 29 to 507 of the family's 1533-position model. The record is from RNAcentral.
AAUGAACGCUGGCGGCAGGCCUAACACAUGCAAGUCGAGCGAGCAUUUCGGUGCUAGCGGCGGACGGGUGAGUAACGCGUGGGAACGUGCCCUUUUCUGCGGAAUAGUCCUGGGAAACUGGGGGUAAUACCGCAUACGCCCUUACGGGGAAAGAUUUAUCGGAGAAGGAUCGGCCCGCGUUGGAUUAGGUAGUUGGUGGGGUAAUGGCCCACCAAGCCGACGAUCCAUAGCUGGUUUGAGAGGAUGAUCAGCCACACUGGGACUGAGACACGGCCCAGACUCCUACGGGAGGCAGCAGUAGAGAGUAUUAGACAAUGGGGGCAACCCUAAUCUAGCCGUGCCGCGUGAGUGAUGAAGGCCUUAGGGUUGUAAUGCUCUUUCAGCUGGGAAGAUAAUGACGGUACCAGCAGAAGAAGCCCCGGCUAACUCCGUG